Molecule: ribosomal RNA, 514 nt
Filed under: uncultured bacterium
Lineage: Bacteria
Description: bacterial SSU rRNA
Rfam family: Bacterial small subunit ribosomal RNA
Source: RNAcentral
GACGAACGCUGGCGGCGUGCUUAACACAUGCAAGUCGAACGGAGAUUAUUAAUGAAGCUUGCGAUUUAAUAAUCUUAGUGGCGGACGGGUGAGUAACGCGUGGGCAACCUACCCAUAAGAGGGGGAUAACAGCUGGAAACGGCUGCUAAUACCGCAUAAACUUUUUAAGACACAUGUUUUAGAAAGGAAAGGUGGCGCAAGCUAUCGCUUAUGGAUGGGCCCGCGUCUGAUUAGCUAGUUGGUGGGGUAACAGCCUACCAAGGCAACGAUCAGUAGCCGGCCUUAGAGGGUGGACGGCCACACUGGGACUGAGACACGGCCCAGACUCCUACGGGAGGCAGCAGUGGGGAAUAUUGCGCAAUGGGGGAAACCCUGACGCAGCGACGCCGCGUGAGCGAAGAAGGCCUUAGGGUUGUAAAGCUCUGUUCUAUGGGACGAAGUCCUUGACUGUGAAUAAUGGUCAAGGUUGACGGUACCAUAGGAGGAAGCCCCGGUAACUACGUGCCAGCAGCCG